Molecule: long non-coding RNA, 269 nt
Organism: Gambusia affinis (western mosquitofish)
Lineage: Eukaryota; Metazoa; Chordata; Actinopteri; Cyprinodontiformes; Poeciliidae
Exons: 3
Source: RefSeq, a predicted model, not a curated record
AGCAGAUACUACAGAAGCACUUAUUACAAACAAGAUGGCAGAAGAGCAAAGAAAGAAAACCUGUGUGAUGUAAUGUGUGCCAUAAGUAUCGAUGAAAUUGCGAUAUGGUAACCCAGAAGAAUUUGGAGGAAGAGACUUCACAGCCGUUUUAAAUUCGUGAUGCAAAGGAUAAAUCCUUUUUUGAGACAUUGUUUUGCCAACUUAUCUUCUACCGGAGCUUUGGACGUUUUGAUGCGCGCACUGCACGUUGCACGGCAGCUUAUGUUACU